RNAcentral lists this long non-coding RNA (301 nucleotides) under Musa acuminata (dwarf banana). RNAcentral's name for it is "long non-coding RNA (MACU_LNC003868)". Lineage: Eukaryota; Viridiplantae; Streptophyta; Magnoliopsida; Zingiberales; Musaceae. The record is from RNAcentral.
GUGUAAGCCUUGAGGCAUUGCACAUUAUCAUGAAUCCUAAGUAGAAGAAUUUUGAAUAUCUGACAUCAAAGACAUCAAUGACAUCCUAUUGCAGUGGUUUAAUUACCUUUGUCUUAUGGUUAAGCCUAAUGCUAAACUUUCUUGUCAUUGCACAAUUCAUCUUUGAUGAACUUAAGAUAUUUGUCAAAUAAGUAUUAAAUUAGACAUCAAUGGCGCAGUGAAAAUCAAUUCAUGCUUUUCUUCUAAGCAAAUCAAAGGAAUUUUUUAUAAUGUUCAUGAAUACUGCCCCUAAAAGGCUCCU